Molecule: long non-coding RNA, 1123 nt
Organism: Cucumis sativus (cucumber)
Lineage: Eukaryota; Viridiplantae; Streptophyta; Magnoliopsida; Cucurbitales; Cucurbitaceae
Exons: 3
Source: RefSeq, a predicted model, not a curated record
GGAAAAUACGGCGCAAAAACACAUUCCGGCUGGCAUUUUCGCCGGAGAAAUUUGCAGGCUGCACAGGGCGAAUUCGAGGAACUCGAAGCCAUCUUCCAAUUCCUCCUCUGUUAUCUUUUCUUUGGAAAACAAAUUUACUUUGAUGAUAAGGGAAGGUCAGGAAAAAGAAAUUGAAGUUGAUCAGUUACAGUCAUUUCAAUCUUUGAAGCCAAAUUUAAUAUGUUGCUAUCUUUGUGCUUGGAAUCUUGAUUGGUUGCAUGUAUCAAUGCACACAACAUUAUGGAGUAGCUUAAAUUGCAUACAAACCUAAUCACCUCCGUGGAAUCGAGGAGCCACACGUUAUGUGGGGUGUAAAUUUGUUAAAAUCAUUUGGCUCUUCUAUUUUCCCCGUUUAUUUGGUGUAUUCUUUUUGGUUUCGAAGAGUGUUGGAGCCUAGCAGACUGUUGGGAUGAGAUGAUCAAGGUGUUGAAAGGGUCGGACUGCGACGUUGUUGCCAUCCCUUUGUGGGGUGUUUGUAAUUACAGAAACCUUUUUAAGCAAAGCGGAAAUUCCCUGGAGCGCAAUAUUUUGCUGAACAAGAUCUCUUUUCAUGUGGAGGAGUUUUCUGGUGUUGGUGGGGAUGGCCAGGCAUCGUUGAGGAGGGAGAGCCUGAGGAGUCAUGAGAUCUGGGUGCCGCCUGAUAUAUGUUAUUGUUUUUGGAAGUUUUACUUCUGAUGUUAUGUGGAACAAUGUUGAGGAGGUUCGGUGGCACUAGUUAGGCUGUCCAUGACUCUGCUAGAUCUCUCAAUCCUUGCGGGUUGUGAGAGUUGGGUUCAAGUGGCCCAUGGAGGUUCUUGAAACUUUGGCUAUGAUUAGAGAUUUGUUUGUGUUACUUUUUUUAACUUGGGUCUCUUCCCCACACAUGUGGUUGUGGGGAGUCUGAUUGUGCUAAUCUUAUUAAUUUUAUUAGACAUAAAUUUUUAGUUCGGCAGAGUUCUCUGACUUUUGUUGUUGAGGUGGAGUUGUCGAUUGUGUAUGUCCAUGUCGUUUCUUUUGACUGGUAUGUGUGUUCUGCAAAUGAGAUCACUCGUCGUUUUGACUUGUGUCGCCUCGUUGUAAGAUGAUUGGGCGAUUUUUUUGUUUC